This 401-nucleotide ribosomal RNA is filed under the name uncultured bacterium. RNAcentral's name for it is "bacterial SSU rRNA". It matches the Rfam family "Bacterial small subunit ribosomal RNA", at positions 917 to 1322 of the family's 1533-position model. The record is from RNAcentral.
GGGCCCGCACAAGCGGUGGAGCAUGUGGUUUAAUUCGAUGCAACGCGAAGAACCUUACCAGGGCUUGACAUACUACGAAUUUUCUUGAAAGAGAAAAGUGCCUUCGGGAAUGUAGAUACAGGUGGUGCAUGGCUGUCGUCAGCUCGUGUCGUGAGAUGUUGGGUUAAGUCCCGCAACGAGCGCAACCCUUAUUUUUAGUUACCAAUUCGUUGGGUUCUCUAGAAAGACUGCCGGUGACAAACCGGAGGAAGGUGAGGAUGACGUCAAGUCAGCAUGCCCCUUAUGUCCUGGGCUACACACGUGCUACAAUGGCCGGUACAGAGGGCUGCAAUACCGCAAGGUGGAGCGAAUCCCAAAAAGCCGGUCUCAGUUCGGAUUGAGGUCUGCAACUCGACCUCAUG